GAUGAACGCUGGCGGCGUGCCUAAUACAUGCAAGUCCAGCGAACAGACGAGGAGCUUGCUCCUCUGACGUUAGCGGCGGACGGGUGAGUAACACGUGGAUAACCUACCUAUAAGACUGGGAUAACUUCGGGAAACCGGAGCUAAUACCGGAUAAUAUCUUGAACCGCAUGGUUCAAUAGUGAAAGUCGGUUUUGCUGUCACUUAUAGAUGGAUCCGCGCCGCAUUAGCUAGUUGGUACGGUAACGGCUUACCAAGGCAACGAUGCGUAGCCGACCUGAGAGGGUGAUCGGCCACACUGGAACGUGGACACGGUCCAGGCGCCUACGGGAGGCAGCAGUAGGGAAUCUUCCGCAAUAGGCGAAAGCCUGACGGAGCAACGCCGCGUGUGUGAUGAAGGUCUUCGGAGCGUAAAACUCUGUUAUGAGGGAAGAACAAAUGUGUAAGUAACUAUGCACGUCUUGACGGUACCUAAUCAGAAAGCCACGGCUAACUACGUG
This 497-nucleotide ribosomal RNA is filed under the name uncultured bacterium. Its description in RNAcentral is "partial 16S ribosomal RNA". It matches the Rfam family "Bacterial small subunit ribosomal RNA", at positions 28 to 507 of the family's 1533-position model. The record is from RNAcentral.